AUAUUCCCACCACAGCUGGUUUCAAGCUACCCAUCUGGCCAGUGAGUGAUGCAACGUUAGCUCUCGUGAGCCAGCACAACUCACUCCAGCACACCACUGGGUCAGGCCGUGGAAGAUAGAAGCAAGAAGGACUGAAGAGCAUUCCAUGGCUUUGCUCUGAGCACCUGGGUAGAUGGGGAUGCCGUCUACUGAGGAUCAUCCAUGAAGAUGGCUUCUCCGGAGAAGACGUGAAACAGUACAAGCCUGUUGUCUACAGCAACACCAUCCAGUCCCUGGCAGCCAUCGUCCGGGCCAUGGACACUUUGGGCAUCGAAUAUGGUGAUAAGGAGAGAAAGGCUGACGCCAAGAUGGUGUGUGAUGUGGUGAGUCGGAUGGAAGACACCGAGCCCUUCUCUGCAGAGCUGCUUUCUGCCAUGAUGCGGCUCUGGGGCGACUCAGGAAUCCAAGAGUGCUUCAACCGGUCCCGGGAGUAUCAGCUCAACGACUCUGCCAAAUACUACCUGGACAGCCUGGAUCGGAUUGGGGCCGCCGACUACCAGCCCA
RNAcentral lists this small RNA (543 nucleotides) under Pan troglodytes (chimpanzee). RNAcentral's name for it is "processed transcript". The record is from RNAcentral. Lineage: Eukaryota; Metazoa; Chordata; Mammalia; Primates; Hominidae.